RNAcentral lists this ribosomal RNA (301 nucleotides) under uncultured bacterium. RNAcentral's name for it is "partial 16S ribosomal RNA". It matches the Rfam family "Bacterial small subunit ribosomal RNA", at positions 509 to 807 of the family's 1533-position model. The record is from RNAcentral.
CAGUAGCCGCGGUAAGACGAACCGUGCGAACGUUAUUCGGAAUCACUGGGCUUAAAGCGCGUGUAGGCGGGCCGCCACGUCGGCUGCUGAAAUCCCCCGGCUCAACCGGGGAAGUGGCACCGAUACGAGCGGCCUGGAGGGGGGUAGGGGGGACUGGAACUUCCGGUGGAGCGGUGAAAUGCGUUGAGAUCGGAAGGAACGCCCGUGGCGAAAGCGAGUCCCUGGACCCUUACUGACGCUGAGACGCGAAAGCCAGGGGAGCGAACGGGAUUAGAUACCCCAGUAGUCCCUGUCUCUUAUU